UACGGGGGGAGCAAGCGUUGUUCGGAUUUACUGGGCGUAAAGGGCGCGUAGGCGGUCAGCACAAGUCAGUUGUGAAAUCUCCGGGCUUAACUCGGAAAGGUCAACUGAUACUGUGCGACUAGAGUGCGGAAGGGGCAACUGGAAUUCUCGGUGUAGCGGUGAAAUGCGUAGAUAUCGGGAGGAACACCAGUGGCGAAGGCAGCUCGCUGGGACGGUACUGACGCUGAGGCGCGAAAGCGUGGGGAGCAAACAGG
This 254-nucleotide ribosomal RNA is filed under the name uncultured bacterium. Its description in RNAcentral is "partial 16S ribosomal RNA". It matches the Rfam family "Bacterial small subunit ribosomal RNA", at positions 524 to 776 of the family's 1533-position model. The record is from RNAcentral.